Molecule: ribosomal RNA, 242 nt
Filed under: uncultured bacterium
Lineage: Bacteria
Description: partial 16S ribosomal RNA
Rfam family: Bacterial small subunit ribosomal RNA
Source: RNAcentral
UACGGAGGGUCCAAGCGUUAUCCGGAUUUAUUGGGUUUAAAGGGUACGUAGGCGGAAGAUUAAGUCAGUAGUGAAAGCCCAUCGCUCAACGAUGGAACUGCUAUUGAUACUGGUUUUCUUGAAUAUACUUGAAGUAGGCGGAAUACGACAUGUAGCGGUGAAAUGCAUAGAUAUGUCGUAGAACACCGAUUGCGAAGGCAGCUUACUAAGGUAUUAUUGACGCUAAUGUACGAAAGCGUGGG